GUGUUUGGUUAUGUCCUCCCAUCCGUUAAACUUGAAUAGGAAAGCCAGCGCCGACAUGUGCCUGUCUACCAUAGCUGGAGACACCUUUUUAGCGAAUAGUCGACACAGUACCCAUAACAACACAUCUAGCCGAUGACCUGCCAAAAGGUCCCCUCCAAUUUGUGCCACCGUCUCAUCCCAUUCAUGCCAAACCUUUUCGUAUGCCGCCCAAGUGCCCGAUGCCAAGGAACUCCUUACGAACUCCCGGAGCAUGAUGUCCUGAGCUGCCACAAUUCCUCAGGACAUGCCAGACCCUCCUCCUGUGCUUCUGGAGCCGCUUCCCGAAAACGUUCCCACUGUGAACGAGACAGUGUGUCAGCCACUAUGUUUAAGAACCCUGGUACAUGCAUUGCCCUAAACAUGAUAUUGC
Pelobates cultripes (western spadefoot toad) is the source of this 409-nucleotide non-coding RNA. Lineage: Eukaryota; Metazoa; Chordata; Amphibia; Anura; Pelobatidae. The record is from the annotation of a GenBank genome assembly.